AAUUCGCCCUUAGAGUUUGAUCAUGGCUCAGAUUGAACGCUGGCGGCAUGCCUUACACAUGCAAGUCGAACGGUAACAGGUCUUCGGACGCUGACGAGUGGCGAACGGGUGAGUAAUACAUCGGAACGUGCCCAGUCGUGGGGGAUAACUACUCGAAAGAGUAGCUAAUACCGCAUACGAUCUGAGGAUGAAAGCGGGGGACCUUCGGGCCUCGCGCGAUUGGAGCGGCCGAUGGCAGAUUAGGUAGUUGGUGGGAUAAAAGCUUACCAAGCCGACGAUCUGUAGCUGGUCUGAGAGGACGACCAGCCACACUGGGACUGAGACACGGCCCAGACUCCUACGGGAGGCAGCAGUGGGGAAUUUUGGACAAUGGGCGAAAGCCUGAUCCAGCAAUGCCGCGUGCAGGAUGAAGGCCUUCGGGUUGUAAAUUCUUA
This 434-nucleotide ribosomal RNA is filed under the name uncultured bacterium. RNAcentral's name for it is "bacterial SSU rRNA". It matches the Rfam family "Bacterial small subunit ribosomal RNA", at positions 1 to 435 of the family's 1533-position model. The record is from RNAcentral.